AGUCUAGUGGUUAGGACUCCACACUUUCACUGCUGAGGGCCCAGGUUCAAUUCCUGG
Molecule: transfer RNA, 57 nt
Filed under: Bos taurus (domestic cattle)
Lineage: Eukaryota; Metazoa; Chordata; Mammalia; Artiodactyla; Bovidae
Also listed under: 5 other names
Rfam family: tRNA
About the family: Transfer RNA (tRNA) molecules are approximately 80 nucleotides in length. Their secondary structure includes four short double-helical elements and three loops (D, anti-codon, and T loops).
Source: Rfam by way of RNAcentral